UGGGGAAUCUUCCGCAAUGGACGAAAGUCUGACGGAGCAACGCCGCGUGAGUGAUGACGGCCUUCGGGUUGUAAAGCUCUGUUAAUCGGGACGAAUGGUUCUUGUGCAAAUAGUGCGAGGAUUUGACGGUACCGGAAUAGAAAGCCACGGCUAACUACGUGCCAGCAGCCGCGGUAAUACGUAGGUGGCAAGCGUUGUCCGGAAUUAUUGGGCGUAAAGCGCGCGCAGGCGGAUUGGUCAGUCUGUCUUAAAAGUUCGGGGCUUAACCCCGUGAUGGGAUGGAAACUGCCAAUCUAGAGUAUCGGAGAGGAAAGUGGAAUUCCUAGUGUAGCGGUGAAAUGCGUAGAUAUUAGGAAGAACACCAGUGGCGGAGGCGACUUUCUGGACGAAAACUGACGCUGAGGCGCGAAAGCCAGGGGAGCGAACGGGAUUAGAUACCCCGGUAGUCCUGGCCGUAAACGAUGGGUACUAGGUGUAGGAGGUAUCGACCCCUUCUGUGCCGGAGUUAACGCAAUAAGUACCCCGCCUGGGGAGUACGACCGCAAGGUUG
RNAcentral lists this ribosomal RNA (550 nucleotides) under uncultured bacterium. Its description in RNAcentral is "bacterial SSU rRNA". It matches the Rfam family "Bacterial small subunit ribosomal RNA", at positions 355 to 896 of the family's 1533-position model. The record is from RNAcentral.